RNAcentral lists this ribosomal RNA (227 nucleotides) under uncultured bacterium. RNAcentral describes it as "partial 16S ribosomal RNA". It matches the Rfam family "Bacterial small subunit ribosomal RNA", at positions 128 to 354 of the family's 1533-position model. The record is from RNAcentral.
GCCUUGGAGUGGGGAAUAACAGCUGGAAACAGCUGCUAAUACCGCAUAAUGCAGUUGGGUCGCAUGGCUCUGACUGCCAAAGAUUUAUCGCUCUGAGAUGGACUCGCGUCUGAUUAGCUAGUUGGCGGGGCAACGGCCCACCAAGGCGACGAUCAGUAGCCGGACUGAGAGGUUGGCCGGCCACAUUGGGACUGAGACACGGCCCAGACUCCUACGGAAGGCAGCAG